RNAcentral lists this ribosomal RNA (462 nucleotides) under uncultured bacterium. Its description in RNAcentral is "bacterial SSU rRNA". It matches the Rfam family "Bacterial small subunit ribosomal RNA", at positions 28 to 488 of the family's 1533-position model. The record is from RNAcentral.
GAUGAACGCUGGCGGCGUGCCUAAUACAUGCAAGUCGAACGCUUCACUUCGGUGAAGAGUGGCGAACGGGUGAGUAAUACAUAAGUAACCUGGCAUCUACAGGGGGAUAACUGAUGGAAACGUCAGCUAAGACCGCAUAGGUGUAGAGAUCGCAUGAACUCUAUAUGAAAAGUGCUACGGGACUGGUAGAUGAUGGACUUAUGGCGCGUUAGCUUGUUGGUAGGGUAACGGCCUACCAAGGCGACGAUGCGUAGCCGACCUGAGAGGGUGACCGGCCACACUGGGACUGAGACACGGCCCAGACUCCUACGGGAGGCAGCAGUAGGGAAUUUUCGGCAAUGGGGGAAACCCUGACCGAGCAACGCCGCGUGAAGGAAGAAGUAAUUCGUUAUGUAAACUUCUGUCAUAGAGGAAGAACGGUGGAUAUAGGGAAUGAUAUCCAAGUGACGGUACUCUAUAAGA